This is a long non-coding RNA of Nyctereutes procyonoides (raccoon dog), 5541 nucleotides long. RefSeq lists it as uncharacterized. NCBI's taxonomy places the organism in Eukaryota, Metazoa, Chordata, Mammalia, Carnivora, Canidae. The transcript has 4 exons. The record is from RefSeq and is a predicted model, not a curated record.
UGCGCUGCCCGCCGCGAGCCCCUAGGAGCCCUUGGGUGCACCCCACCCCAUUUCAGGGCGUGUCUCCUUCUCUGUAGCAUGCAGGGCGCCCACAUGACCCUCUGGGGUCCAGAACUCUGUUCCAGCCGCCCCGCGAUGACAGCAGGCAGAAAGAGGAGUCAGGGCACUAUGCCACUGGAAAGAGAAUUCCUCUUUUGUGGCUGGAAGGGUGAGAAGCUGCAAACCAGAGGCCCCGUCUGGCUGGCGUGAAUGGAAGGCCAAACGCUCCACCAAAUUGCUCUGGGAAUGUCAUUCUAAUUAUUGGAUCCUGACCCAGCGGCUUGCUGAUAAGCUCCGGGUUGGAGACGCCCCAUCUCGGAAGAGCUCAAAGCCCGCUUCUCCCCGCCACCCCCACCCCUGUGGCAUCCCUGCCAAGCAAUUAGCCCCGAGGCUGCCUGAGAGCUGAUGGCUGGGAGGAGGGCCGAAGGGUCGGGAUGUCUUCCCACUCCGCUCCCGCAAGAGGCAGCUCUAGCUCCUCGGGGUUUCCCUUCUCUGCCCCCCCCCUUCAGUGCAAGCCCUGUGUUCUACUCUGCGUAAUGGGGAGCUUAGAGGACUCUACACCCUGGUUCUGGGCUCCUGUGAUAGGCUGACUUAUGUCCUCCCAAAUUCCUAUGUUCAAGUCCUAACCCCCAGGACCUCAGAGUGUGAUCAUAUUUGAAAAUGGGGUCUUGGGGAUCCCUGGGUGGCGCAGCGGUUUGGCGCCUGCCUUUGGCCCAGGGCGCGAUCCUGGAGACCCAGGAUCGAAUCCCACGUCGGGCUCCCAGUGCAUGGAGCCUGCUUCUCCCUCUGCCUGUGUCUCUGCCUCUCUCUCUCUCUCUCUGUGUGACUAUCAUAAAUAAAUAAAAAAAGAAAAGAAAAGAAAAUGGGGUCUUUAAAAAGACACCUAAGGAGUGCCUGGGUGACUCAGUCGGUUCAGCGCCUGCCUUCGGCUCAGGUCAUGAUCCCAGGGUCCUGGGAUCGAGUCCCGCACCAGGCUCCUUGCUCAGCGGGGAGCCUGCUUCUCCCUCUGCCUCUGCCCCUCCCCCUGCUCAUGUUCUCUCUCCCUCUCCCUCUCAAGUAAAUAAUGUCUUUAAAAAAUAGGUAACUAGGGGGCACUUGAUGGGAUGAGCACUGGGUGAUAUGCUCUAUGUUGGCAAAUUGAGCUCCAAUAAAAAAAUAAAUUUAAAAAAAUAGGUAACUAAGCUAAAAAUAAGUUUCCCAGGGUGCGGAUCCAGUGCAACUGGUGUCCUUAUAAGAGGAGGACACGAGGACACGGACACACACGGAAGGAAGGCCGUGCAAAGGCACAGGGAGAAGACGGCCAUCUACAAGCAAGAAGAGAGCCUCAAAGCAACCAACCUGCGGACACUGGUGUGAGAAACAAAGGCAGAAGGGAAUACAGAUAAAAUUAAAUGUCCAUAUAACCUGCAGCCCGACAAACCAUUGAGGCAGACAGAGCCUAAUGUUCCUCCAGGAAGCUCCUGUCUUAAUGUGAAUGCCUUGCUAGAGGGCAAAACGACCUUGGUCUGCCAAUAGCGAGGCCUCUGGUGUCCUGUGUCUUCUUUAGCAUAUGAGGUUCCUUUGGGAACUUCCCUUGUCUUUACUUCCCCCAACCCCAAAUGAUAUAAUAUUUGCUCCCAAGAAUCCUGGGGCGGCGGCACCUCCUUCUGCCCACAAGACCUGCCCCCACCCUUGCUUAAAUAAAACCCCCAUUUUUGCACUGAAGACGUCUCAAGAAUUCUUUCCUGGCCAUUGGCUCCGGACCCUACCAACCUCACUUAUAUUCAAAAAACGACAUCAACACCUUGGUCUCCGCCUCCUAGUCUCUGGAGCUCUGAAGAAACACGCGUCUGCUAGUUCACCACCUGGUCUGUGGCUGGUUGGCGGCCCUGGCACCCUCCUCCGCGACCUGCCAGCUGUAACAUGCUCUGGCCCUCCCCCUGACGGUCCUUCGGCCGCUCCCAGGGUCCAGGUGCGCGAAGACCAGGCUUCUCGGCGCCUCGCUCCAGCCUGUGCUAAGGAGAUUGCCAUUGUUACACGUGACAUGGACGGAGCAUCGCCAGAUCCUGGGUGAUUAGCAUACAUUUUCAGAAGAAUGACCACCGUAAGAAGUAUGAAAGACUUCGAUCCAUGGAGUCCAAUUGCCAUCCAGGUGGUUUGUAGCAGCUCCCCUGUCCUCAGCAGUUUAUGUGGGGCUGCAGCAAGAACCCCGAAAGGAGGAGGUCCAUGUCCCAGGACACUACACACCACGGAACCAUGCAAACAGAAGCUGUGUUACCAUUUGAGUGGUCAUUUGAGCCUGCGCCCUUGCAAAGCUAAAUCCAGCCACAGAAGUGUCCCAGACACAGGCUGCCACCCUGUCUUCAACCUCGGACUUUCACUUACAGGCUGCGGGACAGGCCGGAACAAGAAGCACCGCAACCAGACCGCGUUUUGGGUUUACUCCUCUGUGACUUGACCUCUCUGAGACGCAGCUUCCUCCUCUGCUUUAAAAUUGGUUGGUCCUAUCUAUCUCACAGAGUUGUUAUAAAAAUUCGGUGAAAUAGUUUGGGUAAAAUCCCCAUUGACUCAACAAACAUGGAGCAUCCAGUCUGUGACAGGCAUGACUAAAGGCAGCGGGAAUAAGAUGAUGAACAGAGACGAGAUUCCACUCUCCCAGAGCAGAGAAAAUAGACCGGAACUGUGUAUAAUCAGGUGCUUUCUGCUGCCAGUAGCACAACAUCUGACAAAAUGUGACUCCAAACGGCGUCGACAAACCGGGUAUCUAACAUCUUACAUAUAAUUAUCCAAAGACAGCAUCCCAGGGUUGGCUAACUCCCAGCUUCUCUGUGCAAUCGAGGUUAAUUUUUUCCAUCUUUCUGCUCUGCUACCCUCAGCAUACCGAUGUUUGUCUCCAGGCUGGUGCCCUCAUGGGCACAAGGUGGCUGCUGAAGCUCUGGGCUGACAUCCUCUGACAUCCUCAGGCAGCAUUAGGAGAAGGCCAGCAAAGCAUAGGACGCAUCUUCAUGUCUGCUUUUCUGUUUUUCUUUGAAGUGAAAUUUGCAUAACAUAAAAUCAGACAUUUUAAAGUGUACAAGUCACAAUGUUAGUACACUCACAAUGUUGCCCUAUAUCAAGUUCCAAAACAGGGACGCCUGAGUGGCUCAGCAGUUGAGCAUCUGCCUUCGGCUCAGGGGUCCCGGGAUCGAGUCCAGCAUUGGGUUCCCUGCAUGGAGCCUGCUUCUCCCUCUGCCUGUGUCUCUGCCUCUCUCUGUGUGUCUCUCAUGAAUAAAUAAAUAAGAUCCUUAAAAACAAAAAUACCAAAACUGAAGCAAAACGAAAAGUUCCAAAACAUGUUUACCGCCCUUAAAGAAAACCCUCGUGUUUGUUUUGAAGAAACCUUUUCCAGAAGCUCAAAAGAUGUGCCCUCAAGUCUUAUCAACUCUAAUUGAGUCACUUGAUCAUGAUUAAACCAUCAACAGGAAGACUGAAAUUCUUCCGCUUGGCUGAUCAAAAGCCCCUCGAGUUCAGUUCAGCAACCCCUGAGGCACAGGACCAAGACCAUGACCAUAAGAUUCCUGAAGGAAGGAAGGAAUGCAAUUGUCGGCAUGGGGUGGAGCUCAUAAUAGAUGCCCAAUGUAUGCUCUUCUUCUAUCGGAAUGAAAGUUGGAUGAAUGAGCAGAUACACUCCAGCCUUUCCAAUUUGCCAAAAUGAAAAAAUAAAUAAAUAAAUAAAUAAAUAAAUAAAUAAAUAAAUAAAUAAAUAAAACCAAAACAGCCCCUCCAAGGGAAUGUCCAAUUAAUUCUCAGUGCCCGGGAAAGGCAUCUUUGGAAUCAAAGAACAGCACACACUGUUUCAGAGGCGGCGAAGGAAUCGGCAUCUGGAGCCUGGAUGCUUUGCCAGCCGCUCGUGAAUUGCCCAAUUAUACUGCUUUUCUGAUCUUUCUCACUACCCCAAACCGACUGCUCUUCUAUUCUUUUUUAAAAAUGUUACUCAGUAACAGUAGACCAUAUUAUGCAUUUUUGAGACACCUGUUUGCAAUCACAUUGCCUUUUAUGGAACUAUUUUGAAGCUUGUUUUCAGGAGCUACCUAGAAAGCCAAAACGGGGCCGCUAAACACCUGCACAAAAUGUUCUUCCUGCUUCAUGCUGGAGGACGUGCUUCCCCCUUUUCCUUGCAUUAUGGGGGCCUGGGAGAGUGGCGUGUCGCUCUUACCUAUACAGUAGCACCUUCGAUGCAGAGAACCUUCCAGAUCAUCCCUGCAGCUCCCACCAGGAGUGAUGGCUAAUGAAACUGGCACCUUCCCCGCAGUCUCUCCCAGAACCCCCCCGUUCAGGUGACAUGGUAGGCCAGAGACUCCCAUCACAGGCAGAUGAAGGCAAUACGUUGGUGAACUGGGGGCUGAUGACUCAUCCCCUGUCUCAGAGAUCCUGGGUGUCAUUUAUUUAACAAAUUCUGAUGGGGCUCACGUAUGGCCCAACAUUGUGCUAGGCUCCAGACCUACCCAGGGCUGCGUGGACCCUGCCUCCUUGGAAAAUAAAGCUCACGUUAAUCAAAACACCUUCCAAAGACACAAUUAAACCCUGUGGGAACUCUGUUUGCAGCACUGAGACUGGCCCCGUCCAUUACCAGGAAAAAAAAAACAACAGCAGUGAUCAGAAUCUUAUAGUCAGAAAACUCUAAAUGCACAUGGAGCCCAGACAAAGGAGCAAACCAGUCCUUUUUGCUCUUCUCUGGAGCUUUUCACGCUUUUCACAUCCCUUCCAGCCUCCCUCCAGGGAAGUCAGGACCUCUCCUUCUCAAGGUAUUUUGGAUAUUAAUCUUUUGCUAGCAUCUGGUUUGCAAAUAUCUCUAUUUUCAUAGCUGGAUGGAUAUGGGAUAAAGCACGUGCAGUAAAAUAUAAGUCAGAGGUCAACAAAUUUUUUUUUUAAGGGACCAGGUAACAAAUACUUUCUGCAUUGCAAGCUCCAUGUGCUCCACUAUAGCUUCUCAGCUCUGGGUGUAACACUAAGGCAACCAUAGAUGAUUCGUCAGUGGAUGGGCCUAUUUCCAAUAAAAUGUUGUUUAUGGAUGCUACAAUCUGAAUUUCAUAUAAUUUUCACAUGUCACAAAGUAUCCUCCUUCAGAUUUUUUUUUUCUUCAACCACUUAACAACAUAAAAAUCGUCCUCAGCUCGUGGGCCACACAAAAGUAAGAGACAGGCUGGACCUGGCCUGUGGGCCACAGUUUGCCCAUCCCUAAUUUACGGGGUGGGAACAUGGGUAUUCUUUAACUUUUGGAGAUAUUUGAAGUUUUCCACGUAGAAUGGUGAGAAAUGACCUUUCCUGAGUCAAUGGUUUGUCUUUUCACUUUGUUUUGGGUAUUGUUGUGGCUUUUAAAUCAGUAUAAACAGGGACAUCUGGGUGGCUCAGUCGUUGAGCAUCUGCCUUCGACUCAGGGUGUGAUCCCGGGAUACUGGAAUCAAGUCCUGCAUCAGGCUCCCCACACGGAGCCUGCUUCUCCCUCUUCCUGUGUCUCUGCCUCUCUCUGUGUCUCUCAUGAAU